GUGUAAAGUCCAGACCAUGAAGAUCCGGUAUGUGGCUGUGGCUAAUGAAGAGAAAGGUCUUUAAUCCUCGGGGUCAAAAGGAGGAAAAGUACAGAUAAGGAAAGUGGGGCCUACGAGAGCAUAACUUACACAGAGAAUCCAAGAAAUAAACCAAGAGCCAGGAUCACAUGAUGGGGGGCUGAAGCUGGUCUACAUGCUAAUGAUCUGCUAGGAGUUCCAGCCUUCCUCUCAGCUCUGCUGCUUCGUGCUCACAGAGCCCUUUCUGGGUCAGUGACACUUGGUGCGAUCUGCAAACAGCAGCAUUAGCAUCGGGAGGAAGACUGCUGGAUAUAGUCACUCAGGCUCCAUUUUGGACUGACAUCAGAACUUCUGGAACUGGCUCAGUCACCCAUGAUUCUUCUGUAGCCAACACUAGUACAUCCUUGACUUCAACCGCAAGCUUCCAAGAGGAUAUAGCACACAUCUUCCUGGCCUAAGUGCCUGUACCUCUGACUGGUUGUGAUGAAGCAAAGGACCAAUAAAAGAUCAAUGACUGAA
Long non-coding RNA from Mastomys coucha (southern multimammate mouse), 537 nucleotides. RefSeq lists it as uncharacterized. The record is from RefSeq and is a predicted model, not a curated record. The transcript has 3 exons. Lineage: Eukaryota; Metazoa; Chordata; Mammalia; Rodentia; Muridae.